This 372-nucleotide ribosomal RNA is filed under the name uncultured organism. RNAcentral's name for it is "partial 16S ribosomal RNA". It matches the Rfam family "Bacterial small subunit ribosomal RNA", at positions 526 to 896 of the family's 1533-position model. The record is from RNAcentral.
GUAGGGGGGCCAGCGUUGUCCGGAUUCAUUGGGGCGUAAAGAGCGUGUAGGCGGUUCAAUAGGUCCGAUGUGAAAACUCGAGGGCUCAACCUCGAGAGGUCGUCGGAAACCAUUGGGCUAGAGUCCGGAAGAGGAGAGUGGAAUUCCUGGUGUAGCGGUGAAAUGCGCAGAUAUCAGGAAGAACACCGAUGGCGAAGGCAGCUCUCUGGGACGGUACUGACGCUGAGACGCGAAAGCGUGGGGAGCGAACAGGAUUAGAUACCCUGGUAGUCCACGCCGUAAACGAUGGGCACUAGGUGUGGUGUGUCGACUCCAUCCGUGCCGCAGCUAACGCAUUAAGUGCCCCGCCUGGGGAGUACGGCCGCAAGGCUA